AAGAGCGCCUGGUGUUGGCCAUCCUGCGGCUUCCAACUCGAGAAGGGGGCAGAACCCGGCGAGGACCCGAGAAGGCGGUCAGCGAGGCGAUUGUUGGCAUUCCCCAGAGGAAAGGAAGGGUGUGUGUGUGUGUGUGUGUGUGUGUGUGUGUGUGAGAGAGAGAGAGAGAGAGGAGCGAGCUGAUUCAGUCUCCCUCAAAACGAGAGAGGUUGAGAGAGAGAGGAGAGAGGGGAGAGAUAGAGAGAGAGGAGCGAGCUGAUUCAGUCUCCCUCAAAACGAGAGAGGUUGAGAGAGAGAGGAGAGAGGGGAGAGAUAGAGAGAGAGGAGCGAGCUGACUGAGUCUCCCUCUAAACGAGAGAGGGUGAGAGAGAGAUAGAGAAGAGUGAGCUGAUUUAGAACAGUUGAAAGAGAGAGGAGAGAGGGAAGAGAAAGGGAAGAGAGAGAGAAGAGCGAGCUGAUUUAGAACAGUUGAGAGAGAGAGAGAGAGAGAGGGGAGGAACGAGCCGGUUG
Molecule: long non-coding RNA, 510 nt
Filed under: Spirodela polyrhiza (greater duckweed)
Lineage: Eukaryota; Viridiplantae; Streptophyta; Magnoliopsida; Alismatales; Araceae
Description: long non-coding RNA (SPOL_LNC002121)
Source: RNAcentral